Phoenix dactylifera (date palm) is the source of this 1199-nucleotide non-coding RNA. The record is from RefSeq and is a predicted model, not a curated record. Lineage: Eukaryota; Viridiplantae; Streptophyta; Magnoliopsida; Arecales; Arecaceae.
AGCACCAGAGAAAGAGAGUGAGAGGAGAUAGUAGUUCUGAAGGUGAAAGCCCAAGAAGGAGUUCUUGAGCUGUGAAGGUCCAUCUUCUUCCUUCUUUUCCCUUUCAGCCAACCUUCUGCCUCCCUGCGAGCUAGCACUCCCCGGGAAGCUGAUUAUUCCAAAGCUUUGCGAGUCAUCGAGGCCGGACGCUUGUGCGGCUGCGAAACAUCCUUGAAGGAACCCCCUUCUAAAGGUUUUUUGGCCAUAUCUUCCUUGUUCAAACUUCCGUGAGGUGAUUCAUGAAGUAUUGGAAGCUUACUCAACGUGGAACACAAUGAAAGUCGUUUGACGUUCAAACACAUUUGCUAAUCAUGGUGAAGCCAUGUUUGGACCGAGCACGAGACUUCUGUUCUCAUUGCAGCUUGACCUUACACCAAAAACCCUAACAUCAAUUACAAAAUUUAAGCUCUUGGACACUGUGGAUCAGAUGCCCAUCAUGUAAUGGAUGAAACUUAUGGUGCGAAGUUAGCAAGGCACAAAAUGUCAAGGCACAGGUGGUUUGCUCUGAGAGUUUUUGGUGCGACCAUGUUCUCUUCUUGGUGGUCUUUAGCCCUUUCUGUCACUCUUUUGAAAUCCUUUGCCAUAUAUUUUGAUGUAAGAUGAACCAAGGUCAUGUGGACAAAAAGUAAGGGGUCCUUAUGCCACAUAAGGGAGUUGUUCUUUUCCUUUCCCUAUUUAAUCUCUUAUUCCCCAUUUAACCCUUCAUUUCAAUGAACAACAUUUUUAACAACACUUGAAUCAAAACAGAUAUAACAAAAUUUCAACCAACCAGCAUUCAGACUAAACCUCAGAAUAGUAACAUUAGAGGGACAUUUACUAAUAGAAAUAGUCAUCCCACUUGUUCCUAUUCUAAGACCAAAUGUAGCAUUAUGGCAGAAUAUAGGUUGGAAAGAUGCAGCAUAUAGCUAGAAUUGGCCCUACCCGAGGAAAAGAGAUGGUUUUGCAUUUUGACAUUAUGCACUAUGUUUAGGCUAAAUUUUAAUUUCAAAUUUAGACAUGUGGAUUUAUGUUUGUGAUACUUGGACCACAAGGAUUUUUAAGCAGGUAAAUCCUUAAAUAGAAAAAAAGAACUCAUUUCUAAUGCAAAAAUAAUCAUCUUUGAUUAGAUCAUUGGCCUUUCCAAAAUACUUAGAAUUAAGCUAGUAAACAGUAAAAGUAUA